Long non-coding RNA from Salvelinus sp. IW2-2015, 634 nucleotides. RefSeq lists it as uncharacterized. The record is from RefSeq and is a predicted model, not a curated record. Lineage: Eukaryota; Metazoa; Chordata; Actinopteri; Salmoniformes; Salmonidae.
CUGUUAUUGAGUUGAUCUUUGAUCCUGUUCUAAUCUAUUCUGUUGACAGGCCAAGAGGGCAGAAACCCCUCCAGUGUGGUGGACUAUGAGAAGAUCGAUGAAGAUGCCAGAGCCCUGUAUGAUGCUGGGGUGAAGAGAAAGGAACAGAUGUGCCACCUGGAUCUCCAUCAUGUCAGAAGGAGUGUUCCUCCACCUGCAGAAAGUGUUUGACAGGUACAAGAGCUACAGUCCCUAUGAUAUGCAGGAGAGCAUCAGGAAGGAGGUGAAGGGAGACCUGGAGAAGUCCUUCCUCACACUCGUUGAGUGUUUUGAGAACAAGCCGCUGUACUCGCCAGCAGACUUGCAGAGGCCAUGAAGGGUAAAAGUGCGAAGGAGAAGGUUGUGACGAGGAUCAUGGUGUCUCGGUGUGAAGUCGACCUCAUGAAGGUCAGAACAGAGUUCAAGAGUCAGACCGGCAAGUCUCUGUCCAGACCAUCUCUGAGCACACUAAGGGGGAUUACCAGAAGGCCAUGCCGUCUCUGUGUGGGGAGACGACUAAACGUCAUCUUGAUUUCAUUACCUACAAGCCUUCGGCGUACUGGUCAUUAUGUCCACUGCUGGGAAGGUUGCUUACUAGACUACAACCCCCACUGGA